Molecule: RNA transcript, 4098 nt
Organism: Poecilia reticulata (guppy)
Lineage: Eukaryota; Metazoa; Chordata; Actinopteri; Cyprinodontiformes; Poeciliidae
Gene: cald1a
Gene name: caldesmon 1a
Source: RefSeq, a predicted model, not a curated record
UGUAGUAGAGGAUCAACUGCAGACUGGCUCCCCUUCCUCUCCUCUCAACCAAACUCCAGAGCUCUACUUUUAUCCCGUUAAAGAUCCACAGAGCACCAUCAUGGAGGACAUGGACUUUGAGCGGCGCCGGGAGCUGAGGAGGCAGAAGCGGGAGGAGAUGCGCCUGGAGGCUGAACGCAUGCUCAGGAACGAUGACGACGAGGAGGAGGCGGCCCGGGAGAGGAGGCGCAGGGCGCGUCAGGAGAGGCUGAGGAACCGGGAGAGCGAGGAGCCCAGCAGCCAGCCGGACGGCACCAUCAUGACCAACAGCCACAGCGUGACAGAGUCCGUCUCUGUGAGCAGCUCCUACGGCGGCGGCGGGGACGACGAGGAGCAGGCCUUGCAGGAGCGCAUGGCCAAGCGCGAGGAGAGGCGGCAAAGGCGCAUGAAGGAGGCGCUGGAGAGGCAGAAGCAGCUGGAACCCGCCGGCGACGGCGUCGGCCCGGAGAAGAACAGCACAGAGGAGGAACGGCCCUCCCGGCGCAGCCGCCGUUACCGUGACACCGUGGAGGACGAGGAGAAGACUGAGAGUAGCAGCUCGAGGCGGGAGGUGAGAGAGCAAGAGGAACCUAGAGAGGAGGAAGAGGAGCCUGCUCCUGAGAGAGAGGAAGAGGAGGAAGAGGAGGAGAAAGUUGAAGUUGUGGAACCCAAACCAAGAAGGUCUAAUCUGAGAGAACAGGCAUCAGCAGAGGAGACUGUAAUGCAACACAAGGAUCUCAUUGAAGACGAAACCCAUUCGGUAGUCAGUGAGAGUUCAAGUCAGGCCAAGUCAGCAAACUCCGAGGCUGAGGAGGAUUCAGUAGCAUCAGGGGAGGCUGAAGAGGUGAACGAGAGGGAAGAGUCUGAGGAGGAUCAGAGGAAACAUAACGGAGGACUGCAUGAUGAGGCGGCUCCCAAACAGCACAGGAAACCCGAGAGGACCCUCAGCCGUGGCAGCGUCCGUUCCCCCGAGGUGUCCGCCAGCGACGAGCAGGACGACGACGCCCGCCUGGAGGCAGAGCGGAAGCUGGAGGAGCUGAAGCGCCGGCGCGAUGACGCCGAGAGCGAGGAGUUCGAGAGGAUGAGGCAGAAGCAGCAGGAGGCCGAAGCCGAGCUGGAGGAGCUGAAGAGGAAGCGGGAAGAGAGGAGGAAGGUGCUGGAGGAGGAGGAGAGGCAGCGGAAGCAGGAGGAGGCCGAACGGAAAGCCAGAGAGGAGGAGGAGAAGAGGAAGAUGAAAGAGGAGAUUGAAAGGAGACGGGCCGAGGCUGCGGAAAAGAGGCAGAAGGUGGACGACACCGUGGACGGGGAAGGGAAACCGUUCAAGUGCUUCAGUCCUCGAGGCUCUUCUCUCAAGAUUGGAGAAAGAGCAGAAUUCCUGAACAAGUCGGCACAGAAAAGCUCUGUGAAGGCGUCUCAUUCUCCUGUGGUGUCCAAGAUAGACAACCGGCUGGAGCAGUACACCUCAGCUGCUCAGCGAGAGAACAAGGAGUCCAAAUCCCCUCGCUCCACCGUGUUGGAUCUUCCCAUGGUCACUGACGUACGAAACAUUAAGAGCAUGUGGGAGAAAGGCAACGUGUUCAGUUCACCUGGAGGUGCUGGAAGCACUUUUAAGGAAGCAGCUGUUAUAAAGACGGGCGUGGCGGGCCGCAUCAACGACUGGCUGAAUAAAACCCCAGAGAGCGGCAAGACGUCAGGAGGAAGGCCAACGGACCUGAAACCCGUUGAUGUCACCAACAAGAGGAGUCUAUGGGAAAACAAAGGCGCCACUCCAACAAAGAACUCUCACAGCUAGUUGACCUCGGCAUUCAAUCUGGAAUAAGCCUGGAGAGAAAGAAAAGUGUGUGUCGAGGAUAUUCUGCAAAGUGUCUCGGUCAGUUUUUCAUACUUGGGCAACAGCAGACCCGUCUGCUGUAAUGAGUUCUGUGGUCUGGGCUGUGGAGAAGCAGGGUAGUGGUUAGCAAGCUCAUUGUUAGCUUACAGUGUGAUGUAAGGAAAAAUGGUUCAACUGGAGAGGUGGAUGUAUUUUUGUAGUAAGUAGUUCCAGGUAUGUUUUUAUUAAAUUUCCAUGUCUUUGCUGCUUUAUAACCUUCAGUUUGUUGUGAUUUUUUUUCCAGAUGGCAGGCAGAGGAGAGACCAAAUCAGUCGCUAACGGUAUGGGACACUAAUGUCUUAAAGGAGCCACUAAAGCUGGGGACCACGACAAUCCAAGAUUCUACCUUUUGAACAAUUUUAUUUUUUUUUCCCCCCCCUAAGAACCAAAUAACGACCAGAUCCCUACGAGGAGUGACGCCACACUGUACUGAAAACACCUCCUGCAUUUUUGCCAAGUGUAGUACUUUUUGCACAAUGGGUUAGGUUCUGAAAAUAACAGAAGAGGGGGGGGGAAAAAGAAAAAGAAAAACGCUGUGAAAUUUGGACAUUUUUAGACCUGAAUGAGUUCCCAAUCAGCAUUUUAGAUUUUUAGAUUCCUCCACUUUUUAAGUUCCUCCCCGUUCCAAAUAAGACGAGUGAAACCAGAUCUCUCCCUCUUACAGCUUACUUUCCAUCUCUCCUUAAUUUUUUCUGUUUUUUUUUUUUUUCUUUUUUAAUUUAUAUUUAAAGAGACGGCUUCACACAUCGCUAUUUUAUACUCAGCAGCCACCAGUUCAGGAUAGAAAUGUAAGCACUUCUAGAUUUUAGCGGAUUUCACUUGUAUUAAUUAUGUCUUAACAAUAGCAGAGGAAAGGUCUGAGUAAUAUAAGUUAGCACAUGUGACGUUUUGAGUAUCAUUGUAUCAUGUAUAACAUCUCUACGCUCCUAGAAGGUAUUUUUUGCUUUUUUUUUUUUUUUUUUUAAUUUACGAUGGAAAACUUCACCAACAGACGGUUAAUUGUGAAGGUGAAAGGAUUACUGAAUAUUCAGAAGGCCAUUAUGACUUAUUAUUAUCCUUUAUGUCAUUUUAAUUUAAGUUUUAAUGUGGUUUAUCGUAUCUGGCUGUUAUGUAUUUUUUUUUUCUUAAAAGCUUUUGUUGAUCACUUUGUACAGCACUGCGAAAAGUGUUUGCCUCCUUACUGAUUUCUCCUGAUUUUUAUUAUUAUUGUCCCACUUAAAUUCCUCACAUCAAACACAAAUUGUAAGUAAAGGUACAAAAUGAAUUUUCCAAGCAGUGAUAUCAUUUUUAUUUGUAUUUUUUAAUUUGGGGUAAAUAACCUUAUCCAAACCCAAAUUGUCCCUAUGCAAAAAUGUAAUUUCCCCCUUUUUAUGUCCUUAUUUAUUUAAGUGCGACAAAGAGAGUAAAAAAAAAAAAAAAAUGGAGCAAGUCUCUAAGGGGGGACAUCCGUUACCGCAGUGCUGUGAAAAAAAAUAACGAUAAAAAAAAAAAAAUCUUCCUACAUUCCUGUUUGAAAAGCUCGUGGUGCCUUCGCUGCUUUGAAGCUGUGCUAUGUACGGAAACUGUGCAAAGAAGACCAAGUUUUGUAUUCUGCCUUUUACAGUAAUCUCUUCCACGCCUCUUCUGCUCGAGCAAUGUAACGAGUUAGCAGUUUAAGGAUAUUUACCACUAUGUAGAACCUCUCGCCUUCCGACCGCAACAGAAGAUGAAAGAAUCUCAACAAAGAUUCUGUGAUUCUUUUUUUUUUUUUUUUACUUUUCUCUCUGACAUGUUAUGUAGCUCAUAUCGUCGGCGCGGCACAAGCUUUGAUUAGUACAUGAUCGGUUUGUCGGGGCAUUAAAUUGAUUAACGUUACUGCUCAACAGUCUGACAAUCACAUUCCUGUGGCUCCUCUAAAAAAGCAGGGGGCUUGACCAAAAUAUUUUAUAAAGAGUGAAUUAAUGUGACAUUUAUUUUUUUUUGUAAUACAGUGGUUUUAUUGUGCUGUAUUUUUUUUUGUUACAAUCGUGUCCUUUUUUUGAUGUUUUUUAUGCUUUUCUUUUUCAAUUUUUUACCAGGCACUUGUUUGUGUAGCACCAAGCCUAUGCAACACACACAUCUGUACUUGUAUCUUAUUCUGUAUCUCGGUGUCAUAAACGUGGAUGGAUGUUUGUAACAUUGUACCAUGGACUGACUCAACUGCAACAAUAAAGACAUUGAGGUAUUCCAGU